RNAcentral lists this ribosomal RNA (253 nucleotides) under uncultured bacterium. Its description in RNAcentral is "partial 16S ribosomal RNA". It matches the Rfam family "Bacterial small subunit ribosomal RNA", at positions 524 to 776 of the family's 1533-position model. The record is from RNAcentral.
UACGGAGGGUGCAAGCGUUAAUCGGAAUUACUGGGCGUAAAGCGUGCGUAGGUGGUUCGUUAAGUCCGUUGUGAAAGCCCCGAGCUCAACUUGGGAAUUGCAGUGGAUACUGGCGAGCUGGAGUGCGGUAGAGGAAGGUGGAAUUCCCGGUGUAGCGGUGAAAUGCGUAGAGAUCGGGAGGAACACCAGUGGCGAAGGCGGCCUUCUGGACCAGCACUGACACUCAAGCACGAAAGCGUGGGGAGCAAACAGG